RNAcentral lists this ribosomal RNA (505 nucleotides) under uncultured bacterium. Its description in RNAcentral is "partial 16S ribosomal RNA". It matches the Rfam family "Bacterial small subunit ribosomal RNA", at positions 28 to 523 of the family's 1533-position model. The record is from RNAcentral.
GAUGAACGCUAGCUACAGGCUUAACACAUGCAAGUCGAGGGGUAACAAGAGGAAAGCUUGCUUUCCUUGUUGACGACCGGCGCACGGGUGAGUAACGCGUAUCCAACCUGCCUAUAACUAGGGAAUAACCUUGCGAAAGUAAGACUAAUACCCUAUGAUUUCCUUUGAUGACAUCAGAUUAGGAAUAAAGAUUUAUCGGUUAUAGAUGGGGAUGGGUCUGAUUAGCUUGUUGGCGGGGUAACGGCCCACCAAGGCAACGAUCAGUAGGGGUUCUGAGAGGAAGGUCCCCACAUUGGAACUGAGACACGGUCCAAACUCCUACGGGAGGCAGCAGUGAGGAAUAUUGGUCGAUGGGCGGAAGCCUGAACCAGCCAAGUAGCGUGCAGGAUGACGGCCCUAUGGGUUGUAAACUGCUUUUAUACAGGAAUAAAGUUAGCCACGUGUGGUUAUUUGUAGGUACUGUAUGAAUAGGGACCGGCUAAUUCCGUGCCAGCCGCCGCCGUAA